CCUACGGGAGGCAGCAGUCGAGAAUCAUUCACAAUGGGGGAAACCCUGAUGGUGCGACGCCGCGUGGGGGAAUGAAGGUCUUCGGAUUGUAAACCCCUGUCAUGUGGGAGCAAAUUAAAAAGAUAGUACCACAAGAGGAAGAGACGGCUAACUCUGUGCCAGCAGCCGCGGUAAUACAGAGGUCUCAAGCGUUGUUCGGAAUCACUGGGCGUAAAGCGUGCGUAGGCUGUUUCGUAAGUCGUGUGUGAAAGGCGCGGGCUCAACCCGCGGACGGCACAUGAUACUGCGAGACUAGAGUAGUGGAGGGGGAACCGGAAUUCGCGGUGUAGCAGUGAAAUGCGUAGAUAUCGAGAGGAACACUCGUGGCGAAGGCGGGUUCCUGGACAUUAACUGACGCUGAGGCACGAAGGCCAGGGGAGCGAAAGGGAUUAGAUACCCGGGUAGUC
RNAcentral lists this ribosomal RNA (446 nucleotides) under uncultured bacterium. Its description in RNAcentral is "partial 16S ribosomal RNA". It matches the Rfam family "Bacterial small subunit ribosomal RNA", at positions 338 to 795 of the family's 1533-position model. The record is from RNAcentral.